AGUGGCGGACGGGUGAGUAACGCGUAAGAAUCUAACUUCAGGACGGGGACAACAGUUGGAAACGACUGCUAAUACCCGAUGUGCCGCGAGGUGAAACCUAAUUGGCCUGAAGAAGAGCUUGCGUCUGAUUAGCUAGUUGGUGGGGUAAAGGCCUACCAAGGCGACGAUCAGUAGCUGGUCUGAGAGGAUGAGCAGCCACACUGGGACUGAGACACGGCCCAGACUCCUACGGGAGGCAGCAGUGGGGAAUUUUCCGCAAUGGGCGAAAGCCUGACGGAGCAACGCCGCGUGAGGGAGGAAGGUCUUUGGAUUGUAAACCUCUUUUCUCAAGGAAGAAGUUCUGACGGUACUUGAGGAAUCAGCCUCGGCUAACUCCGUGCCAGCAGCCGCGGUAAUACGGGGGAGGCAAGCGUUAUCCGGAAUUAUUGGGCGUAAAGCGUCCGCGGGCGGUCAGCCAAGUCUGCUGUCAAAUCAGGUUGCUUAACGACCUAAAGGCGGUGGAAACUGGCAGACUAGAGAGCAGUAGGGGUAGCAGGAAUUCCCAGUGUAGCGGUGAAAUGCGUAGAGAUUGGGAAGAACAUCGGUGGCGAAAGCGUGCUACUGGGCUGUAUCUGACACUCAGGGACGAAAGCUAGGGGAGCGAAAGGGAUUAGAUACCCCUGUAGUCCUAGCCGUAAACGAUGGAUACUAGGCGUGGCUU
This 700-nucleotide ribosomal RNA is filed under the name uncultured bacterium. Its description in RNAcentral is "bacterial SSU rRNA". It matches the Rfam family "Bacterial small subunit ribosomal RNA", at positions 94 to 828 of the family's 1533-position model. The record is from RNAcentral.